UGCAGUCGGGCGGUAGCACAGAGAGCUUGCUCUCGGGUGACGAGCGGCGGACGGGUGAGUAAUGUCUGGGAAACUGCCUGAUGGAGGGGGAUAACUACUGGAAACGGUAGCUAAUACCGCAUAACGUCGCAAGACCAAAGAGGGGGACCUUCGGGCCUCUUGCCAUCAGAUGUGCCCAGAUGGGAUUAGCUAGUAGGUGGGGUAACGGCUCACCUAGGCGACGAUCCCUAGCUGGUCUGAGAGGAUGACCAGCCACACUGGAACUGAGACACGGUCCAGACUCCUACGGGAGGCGGCAGUGGGGAAUAUUGCACAAUGGGCGCAAGCCUGAUGCAGCCAUGCCGCGUGUAUGAAGAAGGCCUUCGGGUUGUAAAGUACUUUCAGCGGGGAGGAAGGUGUUGUGGUUAAUAACCACAGCAAUUGACGUUACCCGCAGAAAAAGCACCGGCUAACUCCGUGCCAGCAGCCGCGGUAAUACGGAGGGUGCAAGCGUUAAUCGGAAUUACUGGGCGUAAAGCGCACGCAGGCGGUCUGUCAAGUCGGAUGUGAAAUCCCCGGGCUCAACCUGGGAACUGCAUUCGAAACUGGCAGGCUAGAGUCUUGUAGAGGGGGGUAGAAUUCCAGGUGUAGCGGUGAAAUGCGUAGAGAUCUGGAGGAAUACCGGUGGCGAAGGCGGCCCCCUGGACAAAGACUGACGCUCAGGUGCGAAAGCGUGGGGAGCAAACAGGAUUAGAUACCCUGGUAGUCCACGCCGUAAACGAUGUCGACUUGGAGGUUGUGCCCUUGAGGCGUGGCUUCCGGAGCUAACGCGUUAAGUCGACCGCCUGGGGAGUACGGCCGCAAGGUUAAAACUCAAAUGAAUUGACGGGGGCCCGCACAAGCGGUGGAGCAUGUGGUUUAAUUCGAUGCAACGCGAAGAACCUUACCUACUCUUGACAUCCAGAGAACUUAGCAGAGAUGGUUUGGUGCCUUCGGGAACUCUGAGACAGGUGCUGCAUGGCUGUCGUCAGCUCGUGUUGUGAAAUGUUGGGUUAAGUCCCGCAACGAGCGCAACCCUUAUCCUUUGUUGCCAGCGGUCCGGCCGGGAACUCAAAGGAGACUGCCAGUGAUAAACUGGAGGAAGGUGGGGAUGACGUCAAGUCAUCAUGGCCCUUACGAGUAGGGCUACACACGUGCUACAAUGGCGCAUACAAAGAGAAGCGACCUCGCGAGAGCAAGCGGACCUCAUAAAGUGCGUCGUAGUCCGGAUUGGAGUCUGCAACUCGACUCCAUGAAGUCGGAAUCGCUAGUAAUCGUAGAUCAGAAUGCUACGGUGAAUACGUUCCCGGGCCUUGUACACACCGCCCGUCACACCAUGGGAGUGGGUUGCAAAAGAAGUAGGUAGCUUAACCUUCGGGAGGGCGCUACCAC
RNAcentral lists this ribosomal RNA (1410 nucleotides) under Pantoea agglomerans. RNAcentral describes it as "bacterial SSU rRNA". It matches the Rfam family "Bacterial small subunit ribosomal RNA". Lineage: Bacteria; Pseudomonadati; Pseudomonadota; Gammaproteobacteria; Enterobacterales; Erwiniaceae. The record is from RNAcentral.